CCUACGUGGCGCAGCAGUGAGGAAUAUUGGUCAAUGGCCGGAAGGCUGAACCAGCCAUGCCGCGUGAAGGUCAGUGCCCUAUGGGCGUUAAACUUCUUUUGUGCGGGAGCAAUAAUGGUCACGUGUGGCCAGACGAGAGUACCGUACGAAUAAGCAUAGGCUAACUCCGUGCCAGCAGCCGCGGUAAUACGGGGGAUGCAAGCGUUAUCCUGAUUUAUUGGGUUUAAAGGGUGCGUAGGCUGUGAGGUAAGUCAGCGGUGAAAUGCCCCCGCUCAACGGGGUGAAGUGCCAUUGAUACUGCCUUGCUGGAAUGCGGAUGCCGUGGGAGGAAUGUGUGGUGUAGCGGUGAAAGGCAUAGAUAUCACACAGAACACCGAUUGCGAAGGCAUCUCACGAAUCCGCGAUUGACGCUGAUGCACGAAAGUGUGGGUAUCAAACAGGAUUAGAUACCCGAGUAGUC
Molecule: ribosomal RNA, 460 nt
Filed under: uncultured bacterium
Lineage: Bacteria
Description: partial 16S ribosomal RNA
Rfam family: Bacterial small subunit ribosomal RNA
Source: RNAcentral